UCACUCUAUCCCUCAGCUUAAUCCGCCGUCGUUGGUUCAAACGACGGUCGUAUUGAUCUUCGCUGAUUGGAUCUUUAUAAUCCGUACAAACUCCCGGAGCUCUUGGCCUAUCAAUGUCCGGGAUUGAUGGAGCUAUCCAAACCAGCUGCUCUGUUACGCACCUCUGGAACCACGGCGAUAAGCAAAGGCGUCGAAUUGACUCAUCACGGGAACUUCAUUACUUUGCUGUUAUUUCCAAGCAAAGGAUUGUGAAAAAGUUUCUCGAUUGAAGAGGUAGCUAGUAAAGUUCCAAUUGCAUUUCUUUGAUGCAUUAACAAAGCAUUCAGAUUUGAGGUCUCAUUCAGCGAGUAAGAUCCAAGACAUAAAGAUCUUCCACAAUCCGCACCUCAUAAGUAUAAAUUCAAAUACAGCAGGAGGGAUGUGAAAAAAAAAAGGAGUCUCUAGGAUGUCCUUAAGUAGUUUAUUUCCCAUUAAUGGAAGAUUAGUUUUAGUUUCUAGUUGGUUAAAGUUUCAGACUUUGAGUUCUUAUUGGUCCUGGAGAGAAAAGAAGUGAGAAAUAUAAACUUAUUUUAAAUGUUUUCUUGUAACUUAUAACUUCUUAUUUCACACACCGUUGACCUGAUUCGUU
RNA transcript from Arabidopsis thaliana (thale cress), 628 nucleotides. RefSeq lists it as uncharacterized. NCBI's taxonomy places the organism in Eukaryota, Viridiplantae, Streptophyta, Magnoliopsida, Brassicales, Brassicaceae. The record is from RefSeq. The transcript is spliced from 2 exons.